This 587-nucleotide ribosomal RNA is filed under the name uncultured bacterium. RNAcentral describes it as "bacterial SSU rRNA". It matches the Rfam family "Bacterial small subunit ribosomal RNA", at positions 338 to 916 of the family's 1533-position model. The record is from RNAcentral.
CCUACGGGAGGCAGCAGUGGGGAAUAUUGGACAAUGGGCGCAAGCCUGAUCCAGCCAUGCCGCGUGUGUGAAGAAGGCCUUCGGGUUGUAAAGCACUUUUGUUGGGAAAGAAAUCCUGUCGGUUAAUACCUGGCGGGGAUGACGGUACCCAAAGAAUAAGCACCGGCUAACUUCGUGCCAGCAGCCGCGGUAAUACGAAGGGUGCAAGCGUUACUCGGAAUUACUGGGCGUAAAGCGUGCGUAGGCGGUUCGUUAAGUCUGUCGUGAAAGCCCUGGGCUCAACCUGGGAAUUGCGAUGGAUACUGGCGAGCUAGAGUACGGUAGAGGAUGGUGGAAUUCCCGGUGUAGCGGUGAAAUGCGUAGAGAUCGGGAGGAACACCCGUGGCGAAGGCGGCCAUCUGGACCAGUACUGACGCUGAGGCACGAAAGCGUGGGGAGCAAACAGGAUUAGAUACCCUGGUAGUCCACGCCCUAAACGAUGCGAACUGGAUGUUGGGCACACUUAGGUGCUCAGUGUCGAAGCUAACGCGUUAAGUUCGCCGCCUGGGGAGUACGGUCGCAAGACUGAAACUCAAAGGAAUUGACGG